RNAcentral lists this ribosomal RNA (897 nucleotides) under Oculimacula yallundae. Its description in RNAcentral is "partial large subunit ribosomal RNA". It matches the Rfam family "Eukaryotic large subunit ribosomal RNA", at positions 36 to 950 of the family's 3401-position model. Lineage: Eukaryota; Fungi; Ascomycota; Leotiomycetes; Helotiales; Ploettnerulaceae. The record is from RNAcentral.
AAGCAUAUCAAUAAGCGGAGGAAAAGAAACCAACAGGGAUUACCUCAGUAACGGCGAGUGAAGCGGUAACAGCUCAAAUUUGAAAGCUAGCUCUUUUAGGGUUCGCAUUGUAAUUUGUAGAAGAUGCUUCGGGUGUGGCCCCGGUCUAAGUUCCUUGGAACAGGACGUCAUAGAGGGUGAGAAUCCCGUAUGUGACUGGGUGCUUUCGCUCAUGUGAAGCUCUUUCGACGAGUCGAGUUGUUUGGGAAUGCAGCUCAAAAUGGGUGGUAAAUUUCAUCUAAAGCUAAAUAUUGGCCAGAGACCGAUAGCGCACAAGUAGAGUGAUCGAAAGAUGAAAAGCACUUUGGAAAGAGAGUUAAACAGUACGUGAAAUUGUUGAAAGGGAAGCGCUUGCAACCAGACUUGCGCGCUGAUGAUCAUCCGGGCUUCUGUCCGGUGCACUCGUCUGCGCUCAGGCCAGCAUCGGUUUCGGUGGUGGGAUAAAGGCCUUGGGAAUGUAGCUCCUCUCGGGGAGUGUUAUAGCCCUCGGUGCAAUGCCGCCUAUCGGGACCGAGGACCGCGCUUCGGCUAGGAUGCUGGCGUAAUGGUUGUAAGCGACCCGUCUUGAAACACGGACCAAGGAGUCUAACAUCUAUGCGAGUGUUUGGGUGUCAAACCCAUACGCGUAAUGAAAGUGAACGGAGGUGAGAACCCUUAAGGGUGCAUCAUCGACCGGUCCUGAUGUCUUCGGAUGGAUCUGAGUAAGAGCAUAGCUGUUGGGACCCGAAAGAUGGUGAACUAUGCGUGAAUAGGGUGAAGCCAGAGGAAACUCUGGUGGAGGCUCGCAGCGGUUCUGACGUGCAAAUCGAUCGUCAAAUUUGCGUAUAGGGGCGAAAGACUAAUCGAACCAUCUAGUAG